This 497-nucleotide ribosomal RNA is filed under the name uncultured bacterium. RNAcentral describes it as "partial 16S ribosomal RNA". It matches the Rfam family "Bacterial small subunit ribosomal RNA", at positions 28 to 507 of the family's 1533-position model. The record is from RNAcentral.
GAUGAACGCUGGCGGCGUGCCUAAUACUUGCAAGUCGAGCGAACAGACGAGGAGCUUGCUCCUCUGACGUUAGCGGCGGACGGGUGAGUAACACGUGGAUAACCUACCUAUAAGACUGGGAUAACUUCGGGAAACCGGAGCUAAUACCGGAUAAUAUAUUGAACCGCAUGGUUCAAUAGUGAAAGACGGUUUUGCUGUCACUUAUAGAUGGAUCCGCGCCGCAUUAGCUAGUUGGUAAGGUAACGGCUUACCAAGGCGACGAUGCGUAGCCGACCUGAUAGGGUGAUCGGCCACACUGGAACUGAGACACGGUCCAGACUCCUACGGGAGGCAGCAGUAGGGAAUCUUCCGCAAUGGGCGAAAGCCUGACGGAGCAACGCCGCGUGAGUGAUGAAGGUCUUCGGAUCGUAAAACUCUGUUAUUAGGGAAGAACAAAUGUGUAAGUAACUAUGCACGUCUUGACGGUACCUAAUCAGAAAGCCACGGCUAACUACGUG